CCAAUGCGAUAUUCGUAAAAGUUUAAUUUUUUUGGCGAGAGUUUUCUCCCCUAUCUUCAUAACGAAGAAAUAGUCAGUAGUUGUUUUUCUCUCAAUUUGUGUUCGUUUGUUUUUCGGCUUAGGCCGAGUUAUUUUUUUGUUGGCCUGUUUGCCAAUGUGUUGAUAGUGCAAAAUAUGUUAAAUUUUUAAUAAAAUAAUCGUAUAGCAUCCUUUACUAUGGGUCUGGUGAGUUACUUUAUCAUCAACACCACUUGAUGAAGCAUUCGCUGGAUUGCAAAUUCACUUCACGCAAUCGCGCAAAAUGCAACGGGAAAUUAGAAACAAAUCACACUUAUAUAGACAGCAAUGUUGAAUGAUAAGAAUUAGGCAACGUAUUCAAGUCUAUCUGACAAACAGCUAAGGAUCAGCAAAGAAUUUUGGUCGUAACAGCAGAACUUAAUUGUUUUAACAGCAAGAAAAGUGAAUAUUAAAUACAAAAUUAAAGAAUCCUUGAAAUCAAGAUUCGUCAGCUCUGGACUAUAUUUCGGAGAAUAUCGAAUCAAGAUUGCUAUACAGGCAACAAGAGAUCAAAAAUAUUUCCCGAACAAAUCUUCUUUAUUGUUUCCGACCACCUUGUUGUACGUGCUAAUGUUUGUAAAAGCAAUAAUAGCUGUAAUUUUUAGCGUUUUUUUUUAUCUCGUUUGCUUAAUAAACCCUCCUUUAACUUUU
Molecule: long non-coding RNA, 708 nt
Organism: Parasteatoda tepidariorum (common house spider)
Lineage: Eukaryota; Metazoa; Arthropoda; Arachnida; Araneae; Theridiidae
Source: RefSeq, a predicted model, not a curated record